RNAcentral lists this non-coding RNA (29 nucleotides) under Mus musculus (house mouse). Lineage: Eukaryota; Metazoa; Chordata; Mammalia; Rodentia; Muridae. The record is from RNAcentral.
UCCGGUGUCCUUAAAUCCUUGAGCCCAUG